GGCCUGGUAGUUCAGCUGGUUAGAAUGCCGCCCUGUCACGGCGGAGGUCGUGGGUUCGAGUCCCAUCCAGGUCGCCA
Molecule: transfer RNA, 77 nt
Filed under: Anaerococcus degeneri
Lineage: Bacteria; Bacillati; Bacillota; Tissierellia; Tissierellales; Peptoniphilaceae
Description: tRNA-Asp
Rfam family: tRNA
About the family: Transfer RNA (tRNA) molecules are approximately 80 nucleotides in length. Their secondary structure includes four short double-helical elements and three loops (D, anti-codon, and T loops).
Source: RNAcentral